Oncorhynchus tshawytscha (Chinook salmon) is the source of this 1470-nucleotide long non-coding RNA. The record is from Ensembl. Lineage: Eukaryota; Metazoa; Chordata; Actinopteri; Salmoniformes; Salmonidae.
GUCACAGUGGGUUCUCUGUUUACAGUGUGUAUUCCUGCUGGUCUCAGUGGGCUCUCUGUUUACAGUGUGUUUUCCUGCUGGUCUCAGUGGGCUCUCUGUUUACAGUGUGUAUUCCUGCUGGUCUCAGUGGGCUCUCUGUUUACAGUGUAUGUUCCUGCUGGUCUCAGUGGGCUCUCUGUUUACAGUGUGUUUUCCUGCUGGUCUCAGUGGGCUCUCUGUUUACAGUGUGUAUUCCUGCUGGUCACAGUGGGCUCUCUGAUUACACUGUAUUCCUGCUGGUCCUGGGCUCACAUGGAUACUUCUCUUUGGAUGAAAAGCUAGAUGAUCUGUAUUAUAUUGUUCAGAGAGACGUGUUGGUGGUCAGAUGGUGAAAUAGAAACAAUCUAGAUCAUUGUGUUAAGUAGUGCAUAGCAGGGAUCUAUGAUAAUAGUGUUUAAUGGUUGUCAGCUCCAGUGUGGUUCUUGACAGGCUGUCAAUCUGGAACCAUGAUCUGUCUGCUUGAUAAGCCAUCUGCAACAAAGGAAGCAGCAUGCCUUUAAUGUGUGUGUGUGUGUCCAUGCUUUAAAAUGUAGUGUCUGCCUCAGCUCUCUGAAUUGAAUGCUAUGAGGGUCUAGCUAGAUUUUAGCUGGGUCAUCCAUCCUCCGCUAUGAAGGUCUAACCACAAUACAUUGUGUACACACACACACACACACACACACACACACACAUACACUCUCUGCCUCAGUCACUGUCUGGAUGCAUCCCAGAUACCAACCAGCCUGGUGUUGUGGUCAACCUGUAGCCUCUAUACCAGAUACCAACCAGCCCGGUGUUGGGGUCAACCUGUAGCCUCUAUACCAGAUACCAACCAGCCCGGGCCCUCUCUGAAAGGGCAUCCUGUUCCCCUAUGGGCCCUGGUCAAAAGUAAAGCCCUGCACAGGCAUUGAUUUAAGCCCUACCUCAUGCCUGUGACGUUCAGGCCCUACCCCGAUUUGCUUUUGUCAAAUUUAAGGCACCGUGAGUAAAUCUCCUCUCUGUCACUUGAUCUCUGCGCAGGCAGAUCGCGCUGCAUGGUUUCUGCUCAUGGGGGUUUGGAGUCUGAGUAACCAUAGCAACAGCUCCACUUGGGCUGCUCAAUGAAGAGACAUGAGAUCAGUUAGCUACUUUUCAUCGCUCUAAACUCAGACAGAUUUGUACCUUGUCAGCUCGGGGGUUUGGACUUGCAACCUUCCGGUUACUAGUCCAACGCUCUAACCACUAGGCUACCCUGACGGCUGCGUGGUCCGAUGGUGUUUAUAUUUGCGUACUGUUUGUUGAGGUGAACCUGGUACCUUCAGGCGUUUGGAAAUUGCUUCCAAGGAUGAACCAGACUUGUGGAGGUUUACAAUGUAUUUUUCUGAGGUCUUGGCUGAUUUCCCCAUGAUGUCAAGCAAAAAGGCACUGAGUUUGAAGGUAGGCCUUGAAAUACACCCACAGGUACACCUCCAAUUG